UUAUAAAAAAAAAAAAGACAACUGAAGAGAAGCAGGGUAAAAUAAUGGCGCUUUCCGUUCGAAAAAGAAAACAUUAUUUACGUAAACGUUAGCGCUUGAAAGGGUUAUCAUCGCGGAAAAUCGGUUAUCAUCGCGGAAAACCCUCUCCGUUCGAUGAUCGGGCGCCAUAUUGUAUUCUAUGCCGCACGGUCGGGGGCGAGCGCAAAAACGGACGCAGGGCAGAGUGGAAAGGAGAGAGGGAAGAGAGAAAAAACUUCCCUCUCUCCUUGUCGGUUGAAGGGUAUCCAACCGAUAAAAAAGGGCACUUUUUUUUCUUGUUGUUCCAAAUUGGAUAAAAUAACGCAAAACCAGUUUCUUUCUUAUAGCCUUGCAUAUUCUCUCUAAUCUUCGCUCAUAGUAUUCCUUUUUAGAAAUAACUAAGAAACCUGUUUAAAGGGGCAGUAUGACGAUGUUCUUAAAAUACGUCCUCUAGCGCGGAAAUGUAAAGAUCAAGCGUUAAACUAUCAGGUUCCAAACGCUCCAAGUGAAAUAUCGAGUGGAAGUAUGCUGAAAUACAGCAAUUUUUGGCCGCCAUUAUUCAGUUGGAAUCGAACGAUCGAACGCUGUGAUGUCACUUGUCCCCAAAAUCAAGCUAUGGGAUGGAAUGCCUCGCUCUAAGUCGCAAAAAAUCACAGCACGCACAGAGAUUGGGAUGAGGAUUUAGCCAGAGAAUUCAGCGCAAUACGAUUUAAUCAAUGCAAGUACCCCCAAAUUGGAUAGGCUAGAGGUCUGUCGUGCUGAAACGUUGAAUAAGCAAGCUAAAAAGUGGAAGGAGAAAGCCCUGAAACAGAAAGACUAAAGCCAAGUAACAACCGUCUUGACUUGUGAAUUACCCAAAACAAACUGCAUGAUGGAGAGUUAAGAAUACGAUCUUACGAGCUCAGAAGAACGAUGGGAACCCAAAUAAUAUAUAUCUCAGUUGUGUGACACCAUAUGAAGAGAAGUGCAAUGUCCGGUAAAAAAAUAAUAAAAACUUUACGGGAAAAAGUUAGUUGUUUCCUUAUGUUUGUACAGCGCCUUUUUACAAGCGCGCGCCAUUUUGAUUUUGAAAGGCACCCCUUUGAAAUGAAAGUCCGAAUGUGAAAGUACAGCUCCGCAAUACUUUACUAUAAUUGAAAAAUUGGUUGUUUUCGAUUUCUUGCACUUAUGUCCUAAAACUACACUACCCUUGCUACAUCACUAGCCUAAUGCUACAUCUAAAUUUAGAACAAAAGAAAUUAGCUGGACUUGAAAGUAUUCAUGACAAACAUCAUGACAAAGCAGCUUUGUGGAUUCAGUUUCAGUUUCAGUUUCAGUUUCAGUUUAUUGUUUUGUCACUUAAUACAUUUUUUUAAAUAAAGAUAAUUAUAAUAAUUUACAUAGUGUGACAAGGAGGACCGUAAGAAACCGCAAUAUGUGAUUAUAUAACAAAGGCACCCCUUUGAAAUGAAAGUCCGAAAGUGAAAGUACAGCUCCGCAAUACUUUACUAUAAUUGAAAAAUUGGUUGUUUUCGAUUUCUUGCACUUAUGUCCUAAAACUACACUACCCUUGCUACAUCACUAGCCUAAUGCUACAUCUAAAUUUAGAACAAAAGAAAUAGCUGGACUUGAAAGAAUGUAUUCAUGACAAACAUCAUGACAAAGCAGCUUUGUGGAUUCAAAUAUUCAAACAAAAGAAAUAGCUGGACUUGAAAGAAUUUAUUCAUGACAAACAUCAUGACAAAGCAGCUUUGUGGAUUCAAAUAUUCAGUAAGUUAUAUUACUUAUUCACCAUAUGUGAUUAUAUAACAUUUUAACUAAUGACAUCACAUACUCACCAUAUUUGUGAGUGUGGAAAUAGUUUUGAUUUAAUAUCAACCACGAUCAAAACUUUACAACAACAAUUUAUUGUCAAUUCACAAUUGAAUUAAGUUAGUCUAUGUUACUUGACUAAAAAAAAUCCAAGUUGAUAGCUAUUAAUUACAGCAUCACUAUUUGUUCACUUACCUGGUACAUAGAAUCUGGAGAAACUUCCAUUCAUAUUUGUAUAGACAUAUUUGUAUAUGAGCAUAUUUUCAUGAAAUUGACAUUAAUAAAAAAAUAUUUCAAGACAUCUUCCCAAAAUAGCAAUCACAUGGAUUCUUCAUAAGUUCAACAACUCCUCCAGAGAUUGGUAAAUGAUGUACAGUAGGAGUUUAUAGAAUCUAAAACCAAUAACC
Molecule: long non-coding RNA, 2216 nt
Organism: Nematostella vectensis (starlet sea anemone)
Lineage: Eukaryota; Metazoa; Cnidaria; Anthozoa; Actiniaria; Edwardsiidae
Exons: 2
Source: RefSeq, a predicted model, not a curated record